UUUCCGUAGGUGAACCUGCGGAAGGAUCAUUAUUGAGCCCUGCCCUCACGGGUAGACCUCCAACCCUUUGUGAACCAAACUUGUUGCUUCGGGGGCGACCCUGCCGCUUCGGCGGUGCGGCGCCCCCGGAGGCCAUUAAACACUGCAUCAUUGCGUCGGAGUUAAAGUAAAUUAAACAAAACUUUCAACAACGGAUCUCUUGGUUCCAGCAUCGAUGAAGAACGCAGC
RNAcentral lists this unclassified non-coding RNA (228 nucleotides) under uncultured fungus. RNAcentral describes it as "sequence contains ITS1, 5.8S rRNA gene". The stretch from base 180 to 228 matches the Rfam family "5.8S ribosomal RNA", at positions 1 to 49 of the family's 154-position model. The record is from RNAcentral. Lineage: Eukaryota; Fungi.